GCCAGACUCCUACGGGAGGCAGCAGUGGGGGAUAUUGCACAAUGGGGGAAACCCUGAUGCAGCGACGCCGCGUGGGUGAAGAAGUAUUUCGGUAUGUAAAGCCCUAUCAGCAGGGAAGAAAGAAGACGGUACCUGACUAAGAAGCCCCGGCUAACUACGUGCCAGCAGCCGCGGUAAUACGUAGGGGGCGAGCGUUAUCCGGAUUCACUGGGUGUAAAGGGAGCGUAGACGGCCGUGCAAGCCAGGAGUGAAAGCCCGGGGCCCAACCCCGGGACUGCUCUGGAAACUGCGUCGCUGGAGUACGGGAGGGGCAGGCGGAAUUCCUGGUGUAGCGGUGAAAUGCGUAGAUAUCAGGAGGAACACCGGCGGCGAAGGCGGCCUGCUGGACCGUGACUGACGUUGAGGCUCGAGAGCGUGGGGAGCAAACAGGAUUAGAUACCCCUGUAAU
This 448-nucleotide ribosomal RNA is filed under the name uncultured bacterium. Its description in RNAcentral is "bacterial SSU rRNA". It matches the Rfam family "Bacterial small subunit ribosomal RNA", at positions 330 to 794 of the family's 1533-position model. The record is from RNAcentral.